Molecule: ribosomal RNA, 1423 nt
Filed under: metagenome
Description: bacterial LSU rRNA
Rfam family: Bacterial large subunit ribosomal RNA
Source: RNAcentral
GAGGGUCGAAGGACGUAGGUUGAUACUUAGGCAAAUCCGGGUAUCAUAAGACCGAGAUCUUACAGGCUCUUGACACUCUUCGGAGGAGAUGGAGAAUCGAUGAUACUGUCGUGCCAAGAAAAGCCACUAAGUAUAUUGUAUGUUGCCCGUACCGUAAACCGACACAGGUGGGUGGGAUGAGUAUUCUAAGGCGCGUGGAAGAACCCUGGUUAAGGAACUCUGCAAACUAGCACCGUAUCUUCGGUAUAAGGUGUGCCUACUUUGGUAUAUGGGCUUGCCCCAAAAAGCUAGAGAGGUUGCAACAAAGAGUCCCUCCCGACUGUUUACCAAAAACACAGCACUUUGCUAACACGUAAGUGGAUGUAUAAGGUGUGACGCCUGCCCGGUGCUCGAAGGUUAACUGAUGAUGUCAGCGCAAGCGAAGCAUUUGAUUGAAGCCCGAGUAAACGGCGGCCGUAACAAUAACGGUCCUAAGGUAGCGAAAUUCCUUGUCGGUUAAAUACCGACCUGCAUGAAUGGCGUAACGAGAUGGGAGCUGUCUCAACCAGGGAUCCAGUGAAAUUGUAGUGGAGGUGAAAAUUCCUCCUACCCGCGGAAAGACGGAAAGACCCCGUGCACCUUUACUACAGCUUGACACUGUAGCUUGGAUAUUCAUGUGCAGGAUAGGUGGGAGGCUAUGAUAUAUGGACGCAAGUACAUAUGGAGCCAUCCUUGAGAUACCACCCUUGAAUAUUUGAGUUACUAACUGCGACGAGUUAACCUCGUUCAGGACAAUGUCUGGUGGGUAGUUUGACUGGGGCGGUCGCCUCCUAAAAAGUAACGGAGGCUUACAAAGGUUAGUUCAAAGCGGUUGGAAAUCGCUUGUUGAGUAUAAUGGCAUAAACUAGCUUGACUGUGAGACAUACAAGUCGAACAGAGACGAAAGUCGGUCAUAGUGAUCCGGUGGUUCUGUGUGGAAGGGCCAUCGCUCAAAGGAUAAAAGGUACGCCGGGGAUAACAGGCUGAUCUCCCCCAAGAGCUCACAUCGACGGGGAGGUUUGGCACCUCGAUGUCGGCUCAUCGCAUCCUGGGGCUGUAGUCGGUCCCAAGGGUAUGGCUGUUCGCCAUUUAAAGCGGUACGCGAGCUGGGUUCAGAACGUCGUGAGACAGUUCGGUCCCUAUCUUCCGUGGGCGUAGGAAAGUUGAAGAGAUUUGUCCCUAGUACGAGAGGACCGGGAUGAACGUACCACUGGUGUACCAAUUGUUCUGCCAAGAGCAUCGUUGGGUAGCUACGUACGGAUGUGAUAAGAGCUGAAAGCAUCUAAGCUCGAAGCCAACUCUAAGAUGAACUUUCCCUGAAGUUCCCAGCAAGACUAGCUGGUUGAUAGGCUGGAUGUGUAAGCGUUGUAAGACGUUUAGCUGACCAGUACUAAUAGAACGUUUG